Molecule: ribosomal RNA, 252 nt
Filed under: uncultured bacterium
Lineage: Bacteria
Description: partial 16S ribosomal RNA
Rfam family: Bacterial small subunit ribosomal RNA
Source: RNAcentral
UACGGGGGGGGCAGCGUUGUUCGGAAUUACUGGGCGUAAAGGGCUCGUAGGCGGCCAACUAAGUCAGACGUGAAAUCCCCAGGCUCAACCUGGGAACUGCGUCUGAUACUGGAUGGCUUGAAUCCGGGAGAGGGAUGCAGAAUUCCAGGUGUAGCGGUGAAAUGCGUAGAUAUCUGGAGGAAUACCGGUGGCGAAGGCGGCAUCCUGGACCGGCAUUGACGCUGAGGAGCGAAAGCCAGGGGAGCAAACGGG